This 90-nucleotide transfer RNA is filed under the name Toxocara canis (dog roundworm). It matches the Rfam family "tRNA". From Rfam's summary of the family: Transfer RNA (tRNA) molecules are approximately 80 nucleotides in length. Their secondary structure includes four short double-helical elements and three loops (D, anti-codon, and T loops). The record is from Rfam by way of RNAcentral. Lineage: Eukaryota; Metazoa; Nematoda; Chromadorea; Rhabditida; Toxocaridae.
CGGGCAGUAGCUCAGUGGUAAAGCUCCCACUUCGUAUGCGGGAAGACCUGGAUUCGACGGGAGACCUGGGUUCGACUCCCCGCUGCUUUG